RNAcentral lists this ribosomal RNA (1025 nucleotides) under Nonomuraea coxensis DSM 45129. Its description in RNAcentral is "bacterial LSU rRNA". It matches the Rfam family "Bacterial large subunit ribosomal RNA", at positions 1551 to 2556 of the family's 2925-position model. Lineage: Bacteria; Bacillati; Actinomycetota; Actinomycetes; Streptosporangiales; Streptosporangiaceae. The record is from RNAcentral.
CGUGGGUGAGAUGUGAUGCCGAGCCGAUUGUGGUGAAGUGGAUGAUCCUAUGCUGCCGAGAAAAGCCUCUAGUGAGUGUUGUGGCGGCCCGUACCCUAAACCGACUCAGGUGGUCAGGUAGAGAAUACUAAGGCGAUCGGGUGAACUGUGGUUAAGGAACUCGGCAAAUUGCCCCCGUAACUUCGGGAGAAGGGGGACCUCUGCUGGUGAUGGGCUUUGCGCCUGGAGCUGGUGGGGGUCGCAGUGGCCAGGGGGAAGCGACUGUUUACUAAAAACACAGGUCCGUGCGAAGUCGUAAGACGAUGUAUACGGACUGACGCCUGCCCGGUGCCGGAACGUUAAGGGGACCGCUUAGUCAGCGCAAGCUGGCGAAGGUGAGAACUUAAGCGCCGGUAAACGGCGGUGGUAACUAUAACCAUCCUAAGGUAGCGAAAUUCCUUGUCGGGUAAGUUCCGACCUGCACGAAUGGCGUAACGACUUCCCCGCUGUCUCAACCACAGACCCGGCGAAAUUGCACUACGAGUAAAGAUGCUCGUUUCGCGCAGCAGGACGGAAAGACCCCGGGACCUUCACUACAGCUUGACAUUGGCGUUUGGAGCGUCUUGUGUAGGAUAGGUGGGAGACUGGGAAGCUCGGACGCUAGUUCGGGUGGAGUCAUUGGUGAAAUACCACUCUGGUCGUUUUGAACGUCUAACUCUGGUCCGUGAUCCGGAUCGGGGACAGUGUCUGGUGGGUAGUUUAACUGGGGCGGUUGCCUCCUAAAGGGUAACGGAGGCGCCCAAAGGUUCCCUCAGCCUGGUUGGCAAUCAGGUGUUGAGUGUAAGUGCACAAGGGAGCUUGACUGUGAGACUGACGGGUCGAGCAGGAGCGAAAGCUGGGACUAGUGAUCCGGCAUCGGCGUGUGGAAGCGGUGUCGCUCAACGGCUAAAAGGUACCCCGGGGAUAACAGGCUGAUCUUCCCCAAGAGUCCAUAUCGACGGGAUGGUUUGGCACCUCGAUGUCGGCUCGUCGCAUCCUGGGGCUGG